CCGAGUUUACAACUCCCAAACCCCUGUGAACAUACCAAUUGUUGCCUCGGCGGAUCAGCCCGCUCCCGGUAAAACGGGACGGCCCGCCAGAGGACCCCUAAACUCUGUUUCUAUAUGUAACUUCUGAGUAAAACCAUAA
Molecule: unclassified non-coding RNA, 139 nt
Filed under: Fusarium proliferatum
Lineage: Eukaryota; Fungi; Ascomycota; Sordariomycetes; Hypocreales; Nectriaceae
Description: ITS1
Source: RNAcentral